Long non-coding RNA from Parus major (Great Tit), 590 nucleotides. Lineage: Eukaryota; Metazoa; Chordata; Aves; Passeriformes; Paridae. The record is from Ensembl.
AACACAAAAAAACAAAAUAAAACAACCAAAACAAUUAAUAGGCAUGAUCCUUUUUUUUUUUCCUUCAACAUGCCAUAAUAUUUGACUUUCUAGAUUGGCAGCACCAUAGGAAACUCAGCACUUGGAUAAAGAGCAGUGCAUACUGUGAAUAUGGGACAAAUUUUGAAGCUGUAAUUCAGGUUGUCCAGCCUGUCUGUCCAUCCAGCCUGGAUCCUGGGAAGCCUGCCGGUGAAGACAUGACUCUCCAAGAGGAACUGCUGAAGUCACUUGAAGGAUGUCACACAAUGAGAUAUUCCAUGGGAGCCUGCUGCCUAUGGCUGACACUUUGUUGAUAAGCCUUGUUUUUAAUUUCUCUGCUUUUCACCCCAAGGAAAUGUAAGAAUAUUUUCACACAUGUAGCGUUUCCAAGAAAAUGUUAAGGCAGCAUCAAGUAUUUGGGAGACAAAUUAAGGAAGAUUUAUACAAGACAAGCCAGCAGAAAGAAUGAUGAGAAAAACAGUGGUGAGAGAAGAAAUAUUUCUGAGAAUUCUAGAUAUUCCCACUGUUGCUAUCAGUGCGUGGCCUACAUUGUCACACUUGUGUGUUAAAUA